Molecule: ribosomal RNA, 2910 nt
Filed under: Xenorhabdus doucetiae
Lineage: Bacteria; Pseudomonadati; Pseudomonadota; Gammaproteobacteria; Enterobacterales; Morganellaceae
Description: 23S ribosomal RNA
Rfam family: Bacterial large subunit ribosomal RNA
Source: RNAcentral
GGUUAAGCGACUAAGCGUACACGGUGGAUGCCUAGGCAGUCAGAGGCGAUGAAGGACGUGCUAAUCUGCGAAAAGCGCCGGUGAGCUGAUAUGAAGCGCUAUCAGCCGGCGAUGUCCGAAUGGGGAAACCCAGUGUGAUUUGUCACACUAUCAUUCACUGAAUCCAUAGGUGAAUGAGGCGAACCGGGGGAACUGAAACAUCUCAGUACCCCGAGGAAAAGAAAUCAACCGAGAUUCCCCCAGUAGCGGCGAGCGAACGGGGAGCAGCCCAGAGCCAUCAUCAGUGUCAGCGCCAGGAGAACGGUCUGGAAAGGCCGGCAGUAAAGGGUGAAAGCCCCGUAUCCGAAGGUGUUGGCAGUGUGAGCUCGAUGAGUAGGGCGGGACACGUGGUAUCCUGUCUGAACAUGGGGGGACCAUCCUCCAAGGCUAAAUACUCCUGACUGACCGAUAGUGAACCAGUACCGUGAGGGAAAGGCGAAAAGAACCCCGGCGAGGGGAGUGAAAGAGAACCUGAAACCGUGUACGUACAAGCAGUGGGAGCACCCUUUGGGGUGUGACUGCGUACCUUUUGUAUAAUGGGUCAGCGACUUAUAUUCUGUAGCAAGGUUAACCGCAUAGGGGAGCCGCAGGGAAACCGAGUCUUAACUGGGCGUUAAGUUGCAGGGUAUAGACCCGAAACCCGGUGAUCUAGCCAUGGGCAGGUUGAAGGUUGGGUAACACUAACUGGAGGACCGAACCGACUAAUGUUGAAAAAUUAGCGGAUGACUUGUGGCUGGGGGUGAAAGGCCAAUCAAACCGGGAGAUAGCUGGUUCUCCCCGAAAGCUAUUUAGGUAGCGCCUCGUGAACUCAUCUUCGGGGGUAGAGCACUGUUUCGGCUAGGGGGCCAUCCCGGCUUACCAACCCGAUGCAAACUGCGAAUACCGAAGAAUGUUAUCACGGGAGACACACGGCGGGUGCUAACGUCCGUCGUGAAGAGGGAAACAACCCAGACCGCCAGCUAAGGUCCCGAAGUCAUGGUUAAGUGGGAAACGAAGUGGGAAGGCUCAGACAGCCAGGAUGUUGGCUUAGAAGCAGCCAUCAUUUAAAGAAAGCGUAAUAGCUCACUGGUCGAGUCGGCCUGCGCGGAAGAUGUAACGGGGCUAAACCAUGCACCGAAGCUGCGGCAGCGACACGUUUGUGUUGUUGGGUAGGGGAGCGUUCUGUAAGCCGUUGAAGGUGAACUGUGAGGUUUGCUGGAGGUAUCAGAAGUGCGAAUGCUGACAUAAGUAACGAUAAAGCGGGUGAAAAACCCGCUCGCCGGAAGACCAAGGGUUCCUGUCCAACGUUAAUCGGGGCAGGGUGAGUCGACCCCUAAGGCGAGGCUGAAAAGCGUAGUCGAUGGGAAACAGGUGAAUAUUCCUGUACUCGGUGUUACUGCGAAGGGGGGACGGAGAAGGCUAGGCCGGCCGGGCGACGGUUUGUCCCGGUUGAAGCGUGUAGGUGGGAUGAUUUGGCAAAUCCGGUCAUCCGUUAACACUGAGGCGUGAUAACGAGCCACCACGGUGGCGAAGCGGUUGAUGCCCUGCUUCCAGGAAAAGCCUCUAAGCACCAGGUAACAUUGAAUCGUACCCCAAACCGACACAGGUGGUCAGGUAGAGAAUACUCAGGCGCUUGAGAGAACUCGGGUGAAGGAACUAGGCAAAAUGGUGCCGUAACUUCGGGAGAAGGCACGCCGGCACUAGGUGAAGUGACUUGCUCACGGAGCCGAAGCCGGCCGCAGAUACCAGCUGGCUGCAACUGUUUAAUAAAAACACAGCACUGUGCAAACACGAAAGUGGACGUAUACGGUGUGACGCCUGCCCGGUGCUGGAAGGUUAAUUGAUGGGGUUAGCGGUAACGCGAAGCUCUUGAUCGAAGCCCCAGUAAACGGCGGCCGUAACUAUAACGGUCCUAAGGUAGCGAAAUUCCUUGUCGGGUAAGUUCCGACCUGCACGAAUGGCGUAAUGAUGGCCAGGCUGUCUCCACCCGAGACUCAGUGAAAUUGAACUCGCUGUGAAGAUGCAGUGUACCCGCGGCAAGACGGAAAGACCCCGUGAACCUUUACUAUAGCUUGACACUGAACCUUGAGCCUUGAUGUGUAGGAUAGGUGGGAGGCUGAGAAGUGCGGACGCCAGUCUGCACGGAGCCAUCCUUGAAAUACCACCCUUGAAUGUUUGAUGUUCUAACGUGGGCCCGUCAUCCGGGCUGCGGACAGUGUCUGGCGGGUAGUUUGACUGGGGCGGUCUCCUCCCAAAGCGUAACGGAGGAGCACGAAGGUUGGCUAAGCAUGGUCGGACAUCAUGCGGUUAGUGCAAUGGCAUAAGCCAGCUUGACUGCGAGCGUGACGGCGCGAGCAGGUGCGAAAGCAGGUCAUAGUGAUCCGGUGGUUCUGAAUGGAAGGGCCAUCGCUCAACGGAUAAAAGGUACUCCGGGGAUAACAGGCUGAUACCGCCCAAGAGUUCAUAUCGACGGCGGUGUUUGGCACCUCGAUGUCGGCUCAUCACAUCCUGGGGCUGAAGUAGGUCCCAAGGGUACGGCUGUUCGCCGUUUAAAGUGGUACGCGAGCUGGGUUUAGAACGUCGUGAGACAGUUCGGUCCCUAUCUGCCGUGGGCGCUGGAAGAUUGAAAGGGGCUGCUCCUAGUACGAGAGGACCGGAGUGGACGCACCACUGGUGUUCGGGUUGUCAUGCCAAUGGCACUGCCCGGUAGCUAAGUGCGGAAGAGAUAACCGCUGAAAGCAUCUAAGCGGGAAACUUGCCUUGAGAUGAGUCUUCCCUUGUCCCUAGAGGGCACUAAAGGAACGUUCGAGACGAGGACGUGGAUAGGCCGGGUGUGUAAGCGUCGCGAGACGUUGAGCUAACCGGUACUAAUGACCCGUGCGGCUUAACCUG